Molecule: ribosomal RNA, 451 nt
Filed under: uncultured bacterium
Lineage: Bacteria
Description: partial 16S ribosomal RNA
Rfam family: Bacterial small subunit ribosomal RNA
Source: RNAcentral
AGCGAACGCUGGCGGCAGGCUUAACACAUGCAAGUCGAGCGGGCAUAGCAAUAUGUCAGCGGCAGACGGGUGAGUAACGCGUGGGAACGUACCUUUUGGUUCGGAACAACACCGGGAAACUUGUGCUAAUACCGGAUAAGCCCUUACGGGGACAGAUUUAUCGCCGAAAGAUCGGCCCGCGUCUGAUUAGCUAGUUGGUGGGGUAAAGGCCCACCAAGGCGACGAUCAGUAGCUGGUCUGAGAGGGUGAUCAGCCACAUUGGGACUGAGACACGGCCCAAACUCCUACGGGAGGCAGCAGUGGGGAAUAUUGGACAAUGGGGGCAACCCUGAUCCAGCCAUGCCGCGUGAGUGAUGAAGGCCCUAGGGUUGUAAAGCUCUUUUGUGCGGGAAGAUAAUGACGGUACCGCAAGAAUAAGCCCCGGCUAACUACGUGCCAGCCGCCGCCGUAA